RNAcentral lists this ribosomal RNA (229 nucleotides) under uncultured bacterium. RNAcentral's name for it is "partial 16S ribosomal RNA". It matches the Rfam family "Bacterial small subunit ribosomal RNA", at positions 568 to 796 of the family's 1533-position model. The record is from RNAcentral.
UCCGUAGGCGGGCAAUUAAGUCAGAGGUGAAAUCCCACAGCUCAACUGUGGAACGGCUUUUGAUACUGGUUGUCUUGAGUUAUAGUGAAGUAGAUAGAAUAUGUAGUGUAGCGGUGAAAUGCAUAGAUAUUACAUAGAAUACCGAUUGCGAAGGCAGUCUACUAACUGUACACUGACGCUAAUGGACGAAAGCGUGGGGAGCGAACAGGAUUAGAUACCCUGGUAGUCC